AAAAGAGAGUGUAAUAAUAGAACUGCUAAUUCUAUUCCCCAUAUAUAAAAAUAUGGCUCCCUUG
Molecule: transfer RNA, 64 nt
Filed under: Microcebus rufus (brown mouse lemur)
Lineage: Eukaryota; Metazoa; Chordata; Mammalia; Primates; Cheirogaleidae
Description: tRNA-Ser
Source: RNAcentral